GGACGAAGGCACAGAGAACAAACAGGAUUAGAUACCCAAGUAGUCUUUGCAGUAAAUGAUGAAUGCCAUAGGUUAGAUGGGUCAAUUAUAGUUUAGGGUUAGUCUAGCAAAGUAAUACCGUAUGCUAUAAUUCCUAAUAUCUGGUCUAUAAAUGAAAGUGUAAGCAUUUCACCUCAAGAGUAAUGUGGCAACGCAGGAA
This 199-nucleotide ribosomal RNA is filed under the name Fusarium oxysporum f. sp. lycopersici. Its description in RNAcentral is "partial small subunit ribosomal RNA". It matches the Rfam family "Bacterial small subunit ribosomal RNA", at positions 751 to 899 of the family's 1533-position model. Lineage: Eukaryota; Fungi; Ascomycota; Sordariomycetes; Hypocreales; Nectriaceae. The record is from RNAcentral.